AUGGUUGCACUGGAGUUCCGACCAGACGUUCUAAACUGUUAGCAUGGUCUCCAACUGUGCUCCAACCAGGAGGGGAACUGAAGGGAACAGUAAAGAGAAACCAUUUUCCAGAAAUAGCAGAUAUUGCAUUAUUUACAAAUUGAAAGUUUGUGGCAAACCUGCAUUGAGCAAGUUGCAGAAGGUGCCCACAGUGCCCAGCUGCGAAGAGAAGGACAAAGUCCUUUGGGGCAAAGGAUUCUGAGAGGAGAAGGGAGGUGGAUCCUGGAAGUAAAUAAACCCACUCUUAAAAAUGACUGUCA
Non-coding RNA from Microcebus murinus (gray mouse lemur), 299 nucleotides. The record is from RefSeq and is a predicted model, not a curated record. Lineage: Eukaryota; Metazoa; Chordata; Mammalia; Primates; Cheirogaleidae.